This 942-nucleotide ribosomal RNA is filed under the name Meripilus crocatus. RNAcentral describes it as "Physisporinus crocatus partial large subunit ribosomal RNA". It matches the Rfam family "Eukaryotic large subunit ribosomal RNA", at positions 23 to 951 of the family's 3401-position model. Lineage: Eukaryota; Fungi; Basidiomycota; Agaricomycetes; Polyporales; Meripilaceae. The record is from RNAcentral.
ACCCGCUGAACUUAAGCAUAUCAAUAAGCGGAGGAAAAGAAACUAACAAGGAUUCCCCUAGUAACUGCGAGUGAAGCGGGAAAAGCUCAAAUUUAAAAUCUGGUGGUCUUUGGCCAUCCGAGUUGUAAUCUGGAGAAGUGCUUUCCGCUCUGGACCGUGUACAAGUCUCUUGGAAUAGAGCGUCAUAGAGGGUGAGAAUCCCGUCUCUGACACGGACUACCAGUGCUUUGUGAUGUGCUUUCAAAGAGUCGAGUUGUUUGGGAAUGCAGCUCAAAAUGGGUGGUAAAUUCCAUCUAAAGCUAAAUAUUGGCGAGAGACCGAUAGCGAACAAGUACCGUGAGGGAAAGAUGAAAAGCACUUUGGAAAGAGAGUUAAACAGUACGUGAAAUUGCUGAAAGGGAAACACUUGAAGUCAGUCGCGUUGUUCAGAACUCAGCCUGGCUUUGGCUUGGUGCAUUUUCUGAAUGACGGGCCAGCAUCAAUUUUGACUGUUGGAUAAAGGCCAGAGAAAUGUGGCUCCUUUGGGAGUGUUAUAGUCUUUGGUUGCAUACAAUGGUUGGGAUUGAGGAACUCAGCAUGCCUUUAUGGUCGGGGUUCGCCCACGUUCAUGCUUAGGAUGCUGGCGUAAUGGCUUUAAAUGACCCGUCUUGAAACACGGACCAAGGAGUCUAACAUGCCUGCGAGUGUUUGGGUGGAAAACCCGAGCGCGCAAUGAAAGUGAAAGUUGGGAUCUCUGUCGUGGGGAGCACCGACGCCCGGACCAGACCUUCUGUGACGGAUCCGCGGUAGAGCAUGUAUGUUGGGACCCGAAAGAUGGUGAACUAUGCCUGAAUAGGGUGAAGCCAGAGGAAACUCUGGUGGAGGCUCGUAGCGAUUCUGACGUGCAAAUCGAUCGUCAAAUUUGGGUAUAGGGGCGAAAGACUAAAUCGAACAUCUUUGCCC